Molecule: ribosomal RNA, 467 nt
Filed under: uncultured bacterium
Lineage: Bacteria
Description: partial 16S ribosomal RNA
Rfam family: Bacterial small subunit ribosomal RNA
Source: RNAcentral
GAUGAACGCUGGCGGCGCGCUUAACACAUGCAAGUCGAACGGAAAGGCCUCUGCUUGCAGGGGUACUCGAGUGGCGAACGGGUGAGUAACACGUGGGUGAUCUGCCCUGCACUUCGGGAUAAGCCUGGGAAACUGGGUCUAAUACCGGAUAGGACAAUGGUUUGGAUGCUGUUGUGGAAAGUUUUUCGGUGUGGGAUGAGCUCGCGGCCUAUCAGCUUGUUGGUGGGGUAAUGGCCUACCAAGGCGUCGACGGGUAGCCGGCCUGAGAGGGUGUACGGCCACAUUGGGACUGAGAUACGGCCCAGACUCCUACGGGAGGCAGCAGUGGGGAAUAUUGCACAAUGGGCGCAAGCCUGAUGCAGCGACGCCGCGUGGGGGAUGACGGCCUUCGGGUUGUAAACUCCUUUCGCUAGGGACGAAGCGUUUUUGUGACGGUACCUGGAGAAGAAGCACCGGCUAACUACGUG